UGAUAAGUUUAUACAUGGUAGAAACUAAAUACCUUGCGGCGGGGAUUGGCUCUGCUAUGCCAAUCGCGGUUGCAUCAGAAAGGCGGUCAGGAGUGCUAUCUUCCAAGAGUCUAGCAUGGAGGUUUGGGUCUGUUUCUCCAGCUGGAGGGGUGGGAUCACGGGCAGUACCGCUAAGAGUUCUACCUCUUCCCGGAAAUCUACUGUCCUCAGACGACUAAAUGUGAAGUAGUAUGGUUAGAUCAUACAUCCACCAAGUCAAAAGGAAUUAGCAGACAAGGUUAGCAUGAUUGUACCUGAUUAGAUGCUUCCCUCUGUGGCAGCCAUGAAGACAAGGAUCUCCAAGCGUUUCCCGUAGAGAAACCACUGUCCAAAGAACACUGUCAUUACAAUGUUUCCUAGGCAAGUAGUUCAGUUUUUUCGUAUGUAGUUAGAGGUUCGCACCUGGAUGUUGUGUUUUGUACAGAAUAAGUGGGCAUGUAGCUGGAAGGAUUUCCACCAGUGCACAUAAUGAAUUUGGGUCGCCUUACACAGCUAGCCUGGAAAGGGACAUAGAAUCCGAAUGAGCAACGAUUAAUUCAAAGAGAGACAUGUUUUGCUGCAGGUUCACGAAGCCUGAUGUUCGAAAAUACUUACCAUCCAGGAGGCUGACUCAAUGGUGGAGAAGAAUGAAGACCCGGGCAUCAAGAAAUUGAAAAGGCCAUAAGAAUCUGACACCCAAAGUGGCUAACAAAUUAGCUACCAUGAAACUUCAGGUUUAGAAAGUCGAAAGGUAAAGAAAAAGGUAAAAUAUCAUACAUGCAAAUCCAGACAGGAUGCCACAUAGGUGACCAAGCAAUGAAACAUUUGUCAUGAGAAGCUGGAAUGCAAUCAACAAGAGCCAUGGAUAUCUGCAAAUGGAUACAAAUUUUACACCAUAUGUGCAACAAAGAAAGCAAGUGAACAUUAACAACCCGACAAGAAAGACAAUAAGCUUACAGUUUCGCGGGCACGUUGAAGAGACCAAACACACUGCACAGAAAAAAGAAAAAAAAAUAUAUAUAUAUAUAUGAGAAGCGUCAUGAAUACAAAGGAUGUGCCAAAAAAUUAUUAAAAUAGCUAUAAAAAAGUCUUUACCUCCUAGAGGUGACUCCACUGAGACUCGUCUCUAUGACAAUCAUGGAAAACAAGAUCCCAGAGAAUCCAAUCGCGCACUCAUUCAUGAGAUGGUCAUACUGAUAGAAAGGAUUAUAUCCCACCAGUGACGCUAUAAGAAGAUGCAAUACGGCAUUGGUCGUCGCCAGCAAUAUUGUGAGGUAAAACAAGCGGACGGAUCCCAUGAUUCUCUCCAGCUCGGAUCCCAUAGGAACCAAGGCCAUCAUGUUGAACAUAACAUGAAGCAUCGAUCCAUGGAAUAGAAUGGCCGUGUAAAACCUAUAAACUGCACAACAGGUAACAAGAAAAACAAGCAGGAGUUUACAAGACAAAUACAUCAACAGCAAGAUGUAAAAUCUUUAGUGACAAAAAGAAAAUCAACAAACUUGAUAAUGUGUUUCAAGAAGAUAAGACUUAACAGUAUGAGAAUAUACCUUGGAAACGCGAUAGAAUUGCAGAGGGCAAGAAGCAGACUUCGUAGAAAGUAUCGUAUCCAGUUAAGAGGCUUAUGAGGUAAAUGAUUCCACAAACUACAACCACUGAAGAGGUGAGGAAAGGUAUUGCAUUCCACCAUUGUGAAACUCUGGUUUGAACCCCAGCCUAGAAGAAAAUAAGAAUCCACAACAAAUCACAAACGAGUACUAUAUAAGACCCAUACUAGGUGAUAGCUUAUAACUAAACCUUUGUCCGAAUCUCUACCUGGCUAGAGAUAGAAACCUAUCUAUUAGACCCCUUUAAUCAAUUUCAGAUAUCUUUCAAUAUUCUGAUUGGUCCCGUUAAUAGUAUAAUACCCAGAACACAAAGAACUACUGAAACGGAGGUUGCUCUACUUAUAAACCCCUACUACAUCAAAAGAUUCGAAAUACCUUGCGGCGGGGAUUGGCUCUGCUAUGCCAAUCGCGGUUGCAUCAGAAAGGCGGUCAGGAGUGCUAUCUUCCAAGAGUCUAGCAUGGAGGUUUGGGUCUGUUUCUCCAGCUGGAGGGGUGGGAUCACGGGCAGUACCGCUAAGAGUUCUACCUCUUCCCGGAAAUCUA
RNAcentral lists this long non-coding RNA (2165 nucleotides) under Brassica napus (rape). Its description in RNAcentral is "long non-coding RNA (BNAP_LNC025640)". The record is from RNAcentral. Lineage: Eukaryota; Viridiplantae; Streptophyta; Magnoliopsida; Brassicales; Brassicaceae.